CCAUUUUAUUAAUUAAGAGGCCUGGAGUAAUUUAAAAUUAAUAGUCAAGAGCAAGACCAGUCAUGAACAAUUUAAAAGGAGUAGCAAGAAGCUUACAUCGCAUUAACAUUCUCUCAUCAACAUUGACAAGCCCCACCGGAAACCAAAAGAAACACGAGCAUACUAACAACAAAUGACAACAGAAGAAAUUGCAAGAUACUUGCGUCUACUAUAUACGGCAAAAAUUCACGUGGCACAAGCUAAGCUGGCUUUUGCAUCUAAUUAUCGAUCAAUUCUGCCGGCACCACAUUCUGGAUGAAGUUAUAUUCUUUACAUGAUAAAUCAAUCCUCAUCCACCAAUAGAAAAGCUAACGGGAUAAUAUAUCUGCUACUCGAUCUUGCGCAUCAGGGGGAAUCUCCCUUCCUGGGACUUGGACCUUUAGAAGACUAGCAUACUCUGUGGCUGUAAACAAGUGCUCGUGCUCUGUGAUGAAAGCAAGCAAGGCCUCAAAUGGCAUAUUUAAUAAUUCAUAAUAGGAGCGGACAUGAUCUAAUUUCUGCUGUACAGCUCCACUAUCAAUUGAUGGAAUAGCUGCCAGGGCCUGUUCCAGUGCAAUUGAAUUUCGACAUAUCUGUUGAACCCCGAAAAGGUUAAUGGCUUUCAUGUCAGCCAAAGCCUUGAUUGAUGCAUUUGCAGCAACGCUACAAAUUCCACCAAAUAUGUAAUUCCGCUUUACUCCUGCCACAAAAGGUGCCAUUUCCUCAUCCCUACGUGUUAUCUGGGCUGUGAGUGAAAUUAUGAAGUCAUCAGGCUCUUCUGCAUCUUGGUCCUCCAAGUACUCUCUGUUUGUCAUUUCCUAUUUAAAGAUAUUUACAAUGUAGAAUUAGUUUGUGCUGGGAAAUGAAUUGGGCCAAAAAUGUCCGACAUUGAAAAUACACAAAAUAAAGGGGCAUCAUAUAAAUGGUUGGGGUGCAACAUUGAAUCAUUUUGAAGUGUAAAGCAACAUAAUCACUUGUAUAAGCCUGUAUGAAACUAAAUUAAAGUGUAAUUAGCACUCUCUCCAAAUUUAACAAUUUGAAUCAUCUCAGACCCAAUUGAUUCAAAGAAUUCAUUAACUACACAUUUCUCAAACCUGCAUAUGGAAAAUAGUCUCCAAUUGACUGCCUGAAGGUUUUGCGUGUAGAGAUGCAAUUGGAGACUAUUU
RNAcentral lists this unclassified non-coding RNA (1184 nucleotides) under Hevea brasiliensis (rubber tree). Lineage: Eukaryota; Viridiplantae; Streptophyta; Magnoliopsida; Malpighiales; Euphorbiaceae. The record is from RNAcentral.